Molecule: long non-coding RNA, 6986 nt
Filed under: Homo sapiens (human)
Lineage: Eukaryota; Metazoa; Chordata; Mammalia; Primates; Hominidae
Description: HSALNT0312188
Source: RNAcentral
ACUUGGUAGACUGGUUUUAAGCAUGGAAGGAUUUAAAUAGAUCAAACCGGCUUCUCUGUUGAGUGAGAAUUGCAGGAAGCCUUAUUCAGAGGUAAGAGAUGCCGGUGGUUUGGGCAAGGGUGAUGUUGGAGAAAGGUGGGUGGAUUUUAGAGUAAAAUUAUCUCGUGAAUUAAAAUUAUCUAGAAAUGAUGAUGGAUUUGGUUAAGGAAUGAGGGGAAGGUAAGGAGUAAUUUCAAAGGUAAUAAUAAUAGCUAAUAUGGUGCCAGGCAUCAUUCUAAGUCUUUACAUAUAUUAGCUUUACAUAUAUUAGCUCAUUUAAUCCAUGAAGGACAAUGUAUGAUUUUCCUCACUUUAUAAAGGAGUAACUUGAGGCACAAAAAGUUUAAAUACCUUGUCCAAGGUUCCAUAGCACACAGUCUGAGUUGAGAUGUGAACACAGAGCCUGAGGUUCAAGUCCUUUUUCUAAACCAGUGAUUCUCAAAGGAGACAUUGUUGGUUGUCACAGCUGGGGCUGGAGUGCUACUGAUAUCUAGGGAUAGAGGACAGAGAUGCUGCUAAAUAUCCUACAAUGCACAAGAUAGUCCCCACGACAAGAAAUUACCCAGCCCAAAAUGUCAGUAGUGCCCAGGUUGAGAAACCCUGUUGCAAAUUGCUACAUUAUAUUAAUACUACCUACUGAGGGUAGCCGGUAGGCUUCUUAGACAACUGGUUUACCAAUACUGGGCGAAGACCAGUUUGAGGGAGACUGAGUUGCUUUCUGGACACAUCCAGUUGAGGUCCUUUAAGGCACCUAGGAAGAUAGGGCAAGUAAACUGCUGGAUGCUCGCUUGGCUUUGUAAUUCAGAGAGGUCUGGCACUGCUUGGAGUAGGUUUCUAUUCCUGGCAACUGCAUACACCAAAAUAUCUCCUGUAUUUUUAUAGUGUAUUUGUUUGUUUGUUUAUACCCCCACCCUCUUCCAGAAAGGAUGCAAAGCUGCUUAGGAGGAUAAGGAACACGCAAGAGUCUGAUGUAAGUUAAAAGUAGGACAAAGGAACACAUUCACAUAAGGGUGGAGACAUAGGAUGGAGCCAGCAAUGAGGCUAAAAGGAACCCUAAUCCCAUUCCUGGCAGCUGCAGGGCUCUUCUUACAAUCUUACUGGACUCCUUUAUCCCAGUCUCUGCUGAGAUCUCUGCCUCCUCUCCAGGAGAUGAACCCCAAUCCUCACCUCUUGGCUGCCCUGCAGCUGAGAUGAAAACUGAAUGUGCUUACUGUCUUUUAGGUUCCUGGCACCUAGUGGGAGAACAAUACAUAGUUGUAGAGAGAAACUCCAGGGAUGGGGUUGUGAACAAGACCCAAAGCCUCCCCCAUAGAGCUUCCUUUUGAAUGGGGGAGACAAACCAAAAAGGGGAGCAACCGUUGAUAUGAGCAUUCGUGCUUUGUUUUGCUUAUCAGAUAAUUUAAUAGCUAGUUCCAAGGCGUCUUUCAUGCUAUAAAGAAACAAAAAAGGACCCAAGAAAAAAUGAUGAGGAGAAGUAUGGUGGUUGGGGAAGCCUCUGUGAGAAGGUGAUAUGCAAGCUGAGACCUAGAAGAGGAGAAGGGACAGAGUUUCAUAGAGUCGGGUGAAGGCAUUCCAACCAGGAAACAGCGUGGACAGAUAGCCCUGGAUGGGAAACAACUAUGGUCUUUGAGAAACCGGGAAGAGGCCAGCAGGCCUGAAGCAGGAUGAGUGAAGAGAGAGGGUGGGAAAACAGCCAGGACCUUGCAGGCAUAGGAAAGAGUUUGGGUUUUAUUUCAAGUGCAGUAAGGAGCUAUGGAAGGACUACGUGGCAGAGAUCAACAAUUGUCCACAAGUAUCCAUUCUCCCCUUUGUCCUGAUUCAUAAAAUCCACAAGGUUGAACUGGGCAUGUGGCUGCCUGGAAUAAGAACAACUUUUCCCAGCCUCUUUUGCAGAUGUGGUCAUGUGACUUAAGCUCUGGCUGCUAGAAUCCAAGCUGGGGUGGUGUAUGCAACUUCUGAGUAGUAUCUUUGAAAGGGGGAUGUGUGUCCCCACUCCUCCUUGCUGCUAUGUGGGGUAUAGAUUAAAUGGCUGGAACCCCAGCACCAUCUCAGACUCUGAAGUGACCUUGGAAAUAAAAGCCAGGAUUGGAGAUGCCACAAUGUAGACAGAGCCUGGAUUCCUGACUCCGUUGAACUGCCAUAGUCUCAGGUAGCCAGCUGCCAGAUGCUUCUGGGAGGGAGGGAAAAGCAUCUAUCUUGCUGAAGCCACUGUUAGUGUGCAUUUUCUGUCACAGCUAAACCUAAUUCUAACUGAUAAAGGCUUUCAGGAGGAACCACAUGAUUCCGUUUAUCACAUCAGAAGCUCCCUUAGGCCCUUGUGAGGAGCAGAAGAUUGAAAGGGAGUGAGUACAGAGCAGGGAGAUAGGGGCAGAGGCUGCUGCAAUCAUCCAGGCAAAUGAAUGAACAAAUGAAUGAAUGAAUUGUAACCGGACCCAGGUUCAGUUGCUCUCUGCUUGAAAGCCAAAACUCAAGAAAUGAGACUUGGUGGGAGGAAAAACAGGUUUUUCGGGAAGCCAGCAAACGGAGAAAAUGGUAGACUACCAUCCUAAAAUGCCAUCUUAAGUCAGCACAAAUUUCAGGCUUUUUUUUAUGUUAAGGGCAGGGGAAGAAGAGGGAGUUGGGAUCAAGAUGUGACUGAUGACUGCAGACCUCUGGGUGCCAGUGAGGGCCUGAGGAGUUUGGGAACUUCUUUGUCCUUGGUCAGGUCACAAUGCUCCUGUAAAUCUUUAACAAAACACAGUUGUUUACAUACUUUCCCUUUAACCCCAGAGUUAUUUUUUAAAACUACAUAAUUGCUGUUUUUGUGUAUUAUCUAUAUGGAUCUUUAACAAAACAUGAUUGUUUACAUACUUUCCCUAUAACCCCAGAGUUGGCUUUUAAAACUACAUGAUUGCUGUUUUUGUGUAUUAUCUCAGUGCUCUAAAAUUAUCCUAGCCUACACGCGGGCAUGGGUUAAAGCCCCUUACACAAAUACGGUGAGUGUUACAUUCUUUUGCUGUUUCGCUGUUGCUGAAUGAAUGACUGAAUGAAAGCAUCUCCCAAGGCUGCCUGCUUGCUUACCUUCUCACAUGAUGCUUCUUUGCCUCUCUGUUCCUUAAGGAGCUUUCCCUCCCUUCUUUCUUGCCCCACAGUCCCCAAACUCACCAGUGUGGGCAGAAGGAGAAAAGGAAUGUUCUAUCCAGCCCCAUACCCCAGCACCUGCUGGGCAACUUUGUCUUCCCUUCUGCAAAAGAAAAGAAGUCCCCUCAAACACAGGAGAGGAUGGGAAAAGGCAUCUCUCUAAGCAGUAACCCUGGCAGGGCCCUUCAGGAUUCCCAAAUUCCCAAUUUAUAGACAGGGAAACUGAUCCCUAGAGAAGGGAAGGGACUUGCCCAUGUCCACACAGCAUGUUAGUGGGACACAUCAUGAAACAUAAAAGCAGGAAGAGGGUCUAGAAACCAUCUAGCCCUACCCCCUCAUUUAGAGAAAGGAAAACCGAGGCCCAGAGAGGGAGAGUUAGUGACAGAGCCACAACAAGAACUCAGAAGAGGGUCAGCUGGUGUGCAACCAGCUCAGUGACACAAAAGCCUGUGCUAGGGAUUUAAUGUUCUACUGUCGUGUCUUGAAAUUCUUCAUAUCUUAUCUGUAAAUGUGUAGUUUGUAAAUGAAGUCUGUGAGAUAACACAGCAGGCACCCAGGCCAACAGCCUCAGUUCAAGUGCAGUCCGGCCCCUCCCUCACCAGGUGGGUUCUCAGUGCCAGCUUCCCCAACCCCCUGCUAUCUCCUCCUCACAUCCCUUCUUCUCUCUCUUCCCCCCAACAGCUGCCAGUCUGCUAUCUGCAGGGCACUGGCACGGGAGGCUGAGCAUGCACAUCCCACAGCAUUUGGGUAGGACACGACUGCAGCCAUGCCUGCCCUAGAGGUUGAUGACAUCGUGGUGCCUUCAAGGGGGGAAACUGGCAGGGCAAGCCUUUCCCCUAUGCUAGAGCCUCUGACAUGGAGGUUGCAAGAUGUGGGGGUACCUGUCCACCAUGGAUUGGGGUGAAGGGCCUGUGGGAAAGGAGGAUGCCUGGCUUCCCUUCUCCGGGUCCUCUUGCCUCAGUGUAGGGGACCUGGCAGCAGAUGGGCACUGGUGGGCCACACUGCAGGGGAAGGCUCCUGGGUGCCUUGAGGGCCUCCGUGCUCCUCUCCAGUAGCUCCAUGCCCAAGGUAGCAUAGCAUUAAAUAGCAAAUACACAGCACAAGAGGGGCCACAGAAGUGGGGUGGGGCUUUAUGUUUGGGUACCUCUCUCCUGCCUGUGGAACAAAAGGCUUGUGUUUGCAAUGUGCCCUGGGCUGUCACAUUAGGUAGCUGUCCUGACUCAGGACUUCUGUUGCUCUGGCCACCAGCCCCCAGCACUCAGCACCGCUGGACAACACCGGUGUAUUCACGUUCAGUCUAGUGCGUUCCCGGCCCUGUGCUGGGCCUCUUUUCCCUGUUUUCUUGUUUGCAGCCUUGUCGUAACUGAGUGAGGUGUGCACUAUUAUUAGACUCAUUUUACAGGUGAGGAAAGACAGCUGCCCAUAGGCUGAGUUAACUUGUCCACGUCCUCCACCAGGGAAGCAAGAGAGCCAAGCUCCCCACCCAGGUGGCCUGGUGCUCCUGUCCUGGCCCGACAUGCGGGCAGUCGGGCCGUCGGGAAAGGAAAGCGCAGUGUAGAGGAGCUGCUUCUCACCGCCUCUCCUCCCCUCCCCACCUUCCCCGGGAACUCAUGCCCCUCCCCUGCACUCCUGCUCCUUGCCGGCUCGCCCUGGGCCGCUCCGAAGGGAGGAGACCACGUGACCCAGGUCACCGGUAACCAGGCAACCGUUCCAAGACACUGCUUUUCAUCCACUCUGGCUUCUACCUUAUUCAAUAUCUGCCAGGCGGGCAAGGCUCCUGGGAGCAUCCCUGAAGCCAUUUCUCUGGGCCAGGAGCCAGCUGUUCCCAAAAUGGCCACGAUGCCUCAGGAGGGAGGUUGACACCCUGUGCUCUCAGAAGCAGCUCAGAGCUCAGAGGCAGACCUCUACUCAUGCAAUUCUGCCUUCUGUGCAUGCAAUGGAUUGCUGCCAUCUCCAAUCAGCCACAAUGGGAGGCCACCUGCUAGACAUGGAAGAGCCACCGGAUGGAAGAAGCCUGGGUCUCUGAAAUACUGCUUGGAGUAGACUACUCUGCCUGCAAACUAGGAGCACUGAUUUUGGACUUUUUGGGAGGGACUUCUAUGCCCUCUGCAGUUUGCCUCUUCCUCUGCUAUUUUUUCAUGUAUGUGUAUGUUUUUUGCCUGUAUUUGCAAUGCCAGCCAUCAUUUGCCAUGUCUUCUAGCGGCAACCUGCAUUUAGCCCAGAUCUGCUGUGAUUAUUCCUUUUCACAAACCACAAUGACUCUGGAAAACCUGGCUGUAAACACCAGCACUGCCACCAGCUAAGGAUCUGUGAUCAGGAGUGCCAUCUCACGGUAACAGGGGUGAAGAUAAGCUUGUGCAGGCCACUGGCUAACACAGUUCAUCCCAUGCCUCCUACAUACCAAGCACUGUGCCAGGCACUUUUCACGUCUGGCAUCCUCAGAAUCCUCCAAAAGGAGAGGUUCGUGGAGGAUAAUGCUGUCAGGCUUGGAAGCAGCAGUAGAGAUCACGUUGCCCAGCUCUUGGCAUCAUUGGUUCCCAAAGCUCUGAAUCCCCUGGAGAGCUUUUGUAAAAGGUCGGAUUCAGACAAUCCGGUGGAGCACUCUGAAAUUUAGAGGAAGUGGUCAAAUAGAAUUUUCUGGAAUUAUGGAAAUCUUCUAUUCUGUGCAUCUAGUAUAGUAGAAUCUAGUCACAUGUGGCUUUUGAGAACUGGAAAUAUGGCUAAUGCAACAGAGAAAGUGAAUUUUUACUUUUGAUUCAUUUAAAUAUAAAUGGUCACAUAUGACAUCACUGCCAUAUUGGACAUUGCAGUUCUGGAAGAUGGCAGAUGCAGCCCUCAGAAGAAUUAUCAGCCUGAAUGUCUGGGCGGAGCAGAGCACUACCUUCCCACUCACUCUUCCCCUCCUCUCGCCCCCUCCCCUGCCUCACUUGCAUCAGAUUAUGAUGUGAGCAAAAGCAGGAAACAGCUCUUUUGAUAGGCCUGUGAGACUUGCUGUUCGUUGGAGUAGCUAGGCUGCUCUGACUCAUACAGACCCAAAUCCUGGCAACCACUUUUAUGAAGAAAUGACAAUUCAGUCUACUACUUGUCCAUUUUACAUGCCCAAGGAAUGUGAGGGGCCUCUGCUUGGAUCUAGUUUUCAACCUAGUCUAUGGCAUUGAUUAUCCUUUUAAAAGACAAAAGAGGUGACUUCACGGGCACUUAACAUCUUGGCCAUACUGACCCCAGUUGCACGCUACGUAGGAAGUUUUAGUCCAUUUAAACUGAAGUUCCAAUUUUUUUUUUAACAACUAUUUAAAAAUUGUACAUGUCCCAUACAUGACAGAGAAAGGGUUGUCUGGUUGGAUGAUUUUUGGCUUGCAAAAAGAGAACACAAAAGAAAAGCAUACGUUUUAAUACUCAAGAGACCAAAUUUUCUGCUGAAGAGGAAAUGAACUACAUAUCCAGAAGGGUCCUACCAAGAGGCCAAACAGACUGUGUUCUCUUGGGGGAGUUCUCAGUGGUGAUGAGAACACCACUUUUUUUUUUUUUUUAGUCAUUUUCAAGGUGAGAUAUUGACUUGCUGCUGGAGCAGGACAACUGGUCUCUCUUUCAUUGCUAGCAGCAGAGUAAGGGUCUUGCAAGUUUCAGGCAGCAGCAGAGAAAGGGUCUUGCAAGUUUCAGUCCAAAGCAAGAAGAGCUAGGAUUGCACCAGCUGUCUCACCUACUCUGUGCUCACCUGUUUCUGGAUGAAGCACGGUGACAUCUGUUUUAUUGUAAAGAGAACCAACUUUGGAAUCAAAUGGAACCUGUAUUAAAAUCCUGAAUCCGUCACUAGCUUGGACAAGUCA